AAAGGAGUAAAAAGAAUGUUCGUAUGUAGACUGCCCCAUGAAACAGAAGUAUUCAGAAAGAAAAUUGUGGAAUCAUGAUGGACCAUAUCUGAAUACUGGGGAUAUGAAUGCUCAGGAAGGAGAAACCAGCAUAGUUACAUGUACCUACUUCCUGCUACCUAUGUGAAGCCAGGAGACGGAGCAGAUAUUAGAAGAUACUCACAUUCAAAAGUGCUCAGUGGGCUUGGAGACAGCACAGUGAUACAAGGCUUUGGAUUUUAUACUUGCAGAUGCUGAACAUUACAAAAAAACUUGGGGCUACUCAUGUAGUUUUAUAUCUUAAAGUGAAGAGCUAAAGAGAUGGAGGACUGGAGAUGGAGUGUGCCUCUAAGAUUUUUCCAGUGACAUUUUGCCAAAUUUAAUACAACAGUUGAAUUUGACUGAAAGUAAGUCUUGAAAAUUCAUGACUUUUUGCACAUAGCUAUGUUCAGCUAGUAUUUAGAUAGAGCAUUGUUUUAGGAUUGUUUUUAAUUUAAAUAGUUCACCCUAAAUAAGUGAACUUAGAGAGAAUUCACCCUUAGAGGUCUGAGGCUUGUUGAAAAAUCUGUAUGAAUGAUCCAGAAAGCUCCUUGAGAAUCUCUCUUAAAAUUCUUAGGUGCAAAUUACCUGAAUCAUAAUUUUUAUAUUUCUAAAUUAAGGAAAUAGGAAAAUAAUUGUUGGAAUG
Molecule: long non-coding RNA, 703 nt
Filed under: Struthio camelus australis
Lineage: Eukaryota; Metazoa; Chordata; Aves; Struthioniformes; Struthionidae
Description: lncRNA (ENSSCUG00000012553.1)
Source: RNAcentral